AAACAGACAAGGUGUUUAGAUGCAGAGCAGCAUUGAUCAGGGACUGGGGCGUUUCAUUAAACAGACAUGGUGUUUAGAUGCAGAGCAGCAUUGAUCAGGGACUGGGGCGUUUCAUUAAACAGACAUGGUGUUUAGAUGCAGAGCAGCAUUGAUCAGGGACUGGGGCGUUUCAUUAAACAGACAUGGUGUUUAGAUGCAGAGCAGCAUUGAUCAGGGACUGGGGCGUUUCAUUAAACAGACAUGGUGUUUAGAUGCAGAGCAGCAUUGAUCAGGGACUGGGGCGUUUCAUUAAACAGACAAGGUGUUUAGAUGCAGAGCAGCAUUGAUCAGGGACUGGGGCGUUUCAUUAAACAGACAUGGUGUUUAGAUGCAGAGCAGCAUUGAUCAGGGACUGGGGCGUUUCAUUAAACAGACAUGGUGUUUAGAUGCAGAGCAGCAUUGAUCAGGGACUGGGGCGUUUCAUUAAACAGACAUGGUGUUUAGAUGCAGAGCAGCAUUGAUCAGGGACUGGGGCGUUUCAUUAAACAGACAUGGUGUUUAGAUGCAGAGCAGCAUUGAUCAGGGACUGGG
Molecule: long non-coding RNA, 570 nt
Organism: Coregonus clupeaformis (lake whitefish)
Lineage: Eukaryota; Metazoa; Chordata; Actinopteri; Salmoniformes; Salmonidae
Exons: 3
Source: RefSeq, a predicted model, not a curated record